AAAGUCGUAACAAGGUCUCCGUAGGUGAACCUGCGGAGGGAUCAUUACACAACAAAAUAUGAAGGUCUGGCUUCGCGGCCGGCUGAAAUAUUUUUUCACCCAUGUCUUUUGCGCACUUGUUGUUUCCUGGGCGGGUUCGCCCGCCACCAGGACCAAACCAUAAACCUUUUUUUUUAUGCAGUUGCAAUCAGCGUCAGUAAAAACAAUGUAAUUAAUUACAACUUUCAACAACGGAUCUCUUGGUUCUGGCAUCGAUGAAGAACGCAGCGAAAUGCGAUACGUAGUGUGAAUUGCAGAAUUCAGUGAAUCAUCGAAUCUUUGAACGCACAUUGCGCCCUUUGGUAUUCCAAAGGGCAUGCCUGUUCGAGCGUCAUUUGUACCUUCAAGCUUUGCUUGGUGUUGGGCGUUUUUGUCUCCCUCUUUCUGGGAGACUCGCCUUAAAACGAUUGGCAGCCGGCCUACUGGUUUCGGAGCGCAGCACAUAAUUUGCGCUUUGUAUCAGGAGAAAAGGACGGUAAUCCAUCAAGACUCUACAUUUUUAACUUUUGACCUCGGAUCAGGUAGGGAUACCCGCUGAACUUAAGCA
Molecule: ribosomal RNA, 586 nt
Filed under: Curvularia sp. C1/12
Lineage: Eukaryota; Fungi; Ascomycota; Dothideomycetes; Pleosporales; Pleosporaceae
Also listed under: 1 other name
Description: eukaryotic LSU rRNA
Rfam family: 5.8S ribosomal RNA (bases 220-373)
Source: RNAcentral